Astyanax mexicanus (Mexican tetra) is the source of this 1166-nucleotide long non-coding RNA. RefSeq lists it as uncharacterized. The record is from RefSeq and is a predicted model, not a curated record. NCBI's taxonomy places the organism in Eukaryota, Metazoa, Chordata, Actinopteri, Characiformes, Acestrorhamphidae. The transcript has 4 exons.
CACGUGGAGACAAAGAGCGUUACAAUACAAAGAAACACUGGAAGUUUGUUUUACCCACAUGUGGACCGGGACGGCAACUAAAGGCCAGGGAGAAAAAAAGCGGAUUAAGGAUUUGAUUUUUAAUUGGAACUGCAUGAAGUUGCUCUGCAUGAAGACAACAGAUAAAAAGAAAUGGACUGGAUGUUUAGAGGAACUUUUUUCACGAGGAUGCUGCACCAGCUGCCCCCCAAAAAGUUGCGGAGGUGAUUCCUUUGUUUGGACGAAGGGCUUUGUGAAGAGGACACAGUCAGGCACGACCUGAAAGUCUGUACAAGUGGAAUAAAAAGUAGAAAACAUUGUUUAAAAACUUGUUUUCAGUUGAAUCGGCUUGAGCUGAAGCUUUAUUUGAUUAGUAAAAUGCAUCGUAGCGUAUUAACGAUGUUUGAAGAUCUGCAACGCGGGUUUCUAUUAUAGUUUUGGAGGAUUUAAAGCUUCCAUAGACUGCCUAUGAAAUUCACCACGACCAGGAUCUUCUAGUUUACAUUUUUUCAGUAAGUUAGGAGCAACAGGUAGCCUACUUUUGGUUGAUUUGGCUGUUUUAGUUUGAUUGUCAGUUUAUCACACAAACAUCUGAAUAACCACUGACUCACGGCAAUGUUCCAGCGUUUGUUUGGAAAAAACGCGGAUUUACAACCUAAUUAGGCGAAAGCAGAAUCUCUAUUUGCAAUACCAUCACAUGGAUAUACGGUGCGGUUGAGGGCAUGACUUUUCACUGUGUGAGUUCCAGACACAACAGAGGGACGGAGCUGCGGCCGAUCCGUCACAACUUCCUCUACAUUGUUUUACUCUGAGACUGGACACCUCCACUGACAGACGGAUGACUCUGUCUUCUGGUUUGGAUGCACCCAAAAGAGCCAUGCAUAAUGGUUAGGCCCUCAAGAGUUGGAAAGAAAUACACACAAAUCACCUUUUAAAUUCCAGGUCAUUGUAUCCAGAUCCUACCUGGAAUCCUUGGGCAGAAGGCCAGAAGACCCCCUGGAUGUAGCUUUAUUUGCCUUAAACACUGUUAAGCAUAACCUUCCACCAUCAUCAUCAUCAUCAUCAUCAUCAUAUCUCCUGUCUGCUAACUAAACAAUGUAUUAUGUAUAUGUAUUAGAGCUUUCAACAUUAAAGCAUUAACACACUGA